CAGCAGCCGCGGGAAUACGUAGGUGGCAAGCGUUGUCCGGAAUUAUUGGGCGUAAAGCGCGCGCAGGCGGUUUCUUAAGUCUGAUGUGAAAGCCCCCGGCUUAACCGGGGAGGGCCAUUGGAAACUGGGAGACUUAGAGUGCAGAAGAGGAGAGUGGAAUUCCAUGUGUAGCGGUGAAAUGCGUAGAUAUAUGGAGGAACACCAGUGGCGAAGGCGACUCUCUGGUCUGUAACUGACGCUGAGGCGCGAAAGCGUGGGGAGCAAACAGGAUUAGAUACCCCAGUAGUCCCUGUCUCUUAUA
This 301-nucleotide ribosomal RNA is filed under the name uncultured bacterium. Its description in RNAcentral is "partial 16S ribosomal RNA". It matches the Rfam family "Bacterial small subunit ribosomal RNA", at positions 509 to 808 of the family's 1533-position model. The record is from RNAcentral.